This 301-nucleotide ribosomal RNA is filed under the name uncultured bacterium. Its description in RNAcentral is "partial 16S ribosomal RNA". It matches the Rfam family "Bacterial small subunit ribosomal RNA", at positions 509 to 807 of the family's 1533-position model. The record is from RNAcentral.
CAGUAGCCGCGGUAAAACGAGGGGGGCAAGCGUUGUUCGGAAUUAUUGGGCGUAAAGGGCGCGUAGGCGGUUUGGCAAGUUUCGUGUGAAAACUUCGGGCUCAACCCGAAGCCUGCACGGAAAACUGCCGGGCUUGAGUAUGGGAGAGGUGAGUGGAAUUUCCGGUGUAGCGGUGAAAUGCGUAGAUAUCGGAAGGAACACCUGUGGCGAAAGCGGCUCACUGGACCAUAACUGACGCUGAGGCGCGAAAGCUAGGGGAGCAAACAGGAUUAGAUACCCCGGUAGUCCCUGUCUCUUAUAC